CACUGGGAACAUCAUGGAGUCUGGUAAAAAGCAGAAAUGUUCAAUCCUGUGGGAGGUUUUAAGGUAGAUGAGUGAUAAGGAGCACAGAAGGCUCCAGCAGUCAGAUUUCCAUCUGUGACGUGUGACAGUGUUAUACAUGGAGGGUAAGGACCACAGGUGUCGCUCACUGACACUCUAAUGUGACACUGUUACACAUGGAGGGUAAGGACCACAGGUGUCGCUCACUGACACUCUAAUGUGACACUGUUAUACAUGGAGGAUAAGGACCACAGGUGUCACUCACUGACACUCUAAUGUGACACUGUUAUACAUGGAGGAUAAGGACCACAGGUGUCGCUCACUGACACUCUAAUGUGACACUGUUAUACACAGAGGAUAAGGACCAC
This is a long non-coding RNA of Acomys russatus (golden spiny mouse), 386 nucleotides long. RefSeq lists it as uncharacterized. Lineage: Eukaryota; Metazoa; Chordata; Mammalia; Rodentia; Muridae. The transcript has 4 exons. The record is from RefSeq and is a predicted model, not a curated record.